RNAcentral lists this ribosomal RNA (339 nucleotides) under uncultured Pseudomonadales bacterium. RNAcentral describes it as "bacterial SSU rRNA". It matches the Rfam family "Bacterial small subunit ribosomal RNA", at positions 1056 to 1395 of the family's 1533-position model. The record is from RNAcentral. Lineage: Bacteria; Pseudomonadati; Pseudomonadota; Gammaproteobacteria; Pseudomonadales.
CAGCUCGUGUCUGAGAUGUUGGGUUAAGUCCCGUAACGAGCGCAACCCUUGUCCUUAGUUACCAGCACGUAAUGGUGGGCACUCUAAGGAGACUGCCGGUGACAAACCGGAGGAAGGUGGGGAUGACGUCAAGUCAUCAUGGCCCUUACGGCCUGGGCUACACACGUGCUACAAUGGUCGGUACAGAGGGUUGCCAAGCCGCGAGGUGGAGCUAAUCCCAGAAAACCGAUCGUAGUCCGGAUCGCAGUCUGCAACUCGACUGCGNGAAGUCGGAAUCGCUAGUAAUCGCGAAUCAGAAUGUCGCGGUGAAUACGUCCCCUGGCCUUGUACACACCGCCC